CAGACGAUGCGUCAUGCAUAUCAAUAAGCGGAGGAAAAGAAACUAACAAGGAUUCCCUCAGUAACGGCGAGUGAAGCGGGAAGAGCUCAAAUUUGAAAUCUUGAAAGGUCACCUUUCACGAAUUGUAGUUUAAAGAAGUGUUUCUGUUACGAUCGUAAUAUAAGUUCUUUGGAAUAGGACAUCACAGAGGGUGAGAAUCCCGUCUAUGAUUGCGAUUUGUAGCUUUGUGAUACACUUUCAAAGAGUCGGGUUGUUUGGGAAUGCAGCCCAAAACGGGAGGUAAAUUUCUUCUAAGGCUAAAUAUUGGCGAGAGACCGAUAGCGAACAAGUACCGUGAGGGAAAGAUGAAAAGAACUUUGAAAAGAGAGUUAAAUAGUACGUGAAAUUGUCAAAAGGGAAGCGUUUAACACCAGUGUUGUUUUCUGAAAAUCAACCUCUGUUAGCUUUAUGCAUGUUUGUUUAGACCUAAUCAGCUAUCUUGCAUGUUCUAUUGUUUGCAGUGGUGCACUUUUCAGUUUACAGGUCAACAUCAGUUUUUUUUACCGUAAAAAAGUUAAAGAAAGGUAGCUCAUGGCUCCGGUCGUGAGUGUUAUAGUCUUUUUCCUAUGCGGUAGGAGAGACUGAGGUCUGCAGUGUAGGCUAUUUGGCUAGAUACUCAGGUGCUAUGUGAUACCAUUUCAUAAACAACUUGUUGAUUAUGUUUUGUCUAUUGCAUACUCGCUUGUACUAUCAUACCUACGCUUAGGAUGUUGAAGACUCUACAGAGAUA
This 769-nucleotide ribosomal RNA is filed under the name uncultured Neocallimastigales. Its description in RNAcentral is "partial large subunit ribosomal RNA". It matches the Rfam family "Eukaryotic large subunit ribosomal RNA", at positions 18 to 640 of the family's 3401-position model. The record is from RNAcentral. Lineage: Eukaryota; Fungi; Neocallimastigomycota; Neocallimastigomycetes; Neocallimastigales.